UGAUUUGCUUCUGGGAAAACAAGCCUUGAGAGCUGCGGACUCGCCCCUAGUCACGGUGCUUAAGCAGGAGUCCCUGUAGAAACAAGCUGAAAACACCCCCUGCCUCACUGGUGGAUUCAUAUCCUGUGCGGCCUCUAGGAAGCGCUAGACACAUGCCAGCCAAGGUUGCUUGACAGAAGGCUGUGAAAGAAUGAGACUGCUAAGUAAGACCAGAGGGAGAAGACACUCAAAGGCAAGCGGGUCCAUCAAGUUGGAGUGGAGAGCAGGAUGAGAAAAAGACCAUUUCUCCAAGUGAGAAAGAUAGCACAUCGCUGAAGCCCGGAAGAAUUAGUCUGAACUGGAAUGUGUUUACCACUCCAACCUGCUUCUCCUAUCAGUUCCCUUCACGGGUACAAGGAAACAUCUGCCUACAUGUCCAUACGAGUAUUUCAUUACCAUUCUAAAAGUGUUAUCAGACGUUGUUGCCUCCUUCUUCACCAACCUAUCAUCGAUCAGCCUAAUAAAUGCCCAUGAGUAGUGUGUUCUUUAAGGUUAAGAUUGGUCAAAGAC
RNAcentral lists this long non-coding RNA (549 nucleotides) under Mus pahari (shrew mouse). RNAcentral describes it as "lncRNA (MGP_PahariEiJ_G0003745.1)". The record is from RNAcentral. Lineage: Eukaryota; Metazoa; Chordata; Mammalia; Rodentia; Muridae.